Molecule: ribosomal RNA, 391 nt
Filed under: Chrysophyceae sp.
Lineage: Eukaryota; Chrysophyceae
Description: partial small subunit ribosomal RNA
Rfam family: Eukaryotic small subunit ribosomal RNA
Source: RNAcentral
AUUCCAGCUCCAAUAGCGUAUACUAAAGUUGUUGCAGUUAAAAAGCUCGUAGUUGAAUUUCUGGUCGUGGCGAUCGGUCCGCCCCUCACGGGGUGUGCACCUGGUCUCUACGUCCAUCCUCGGGGAGAGCAUGCCUGGCAUUUAGUUGUCGGGUGUGGGAUCCUCGUCAUUUACUGUGAGCAAAAUAGAGUGUUCAAAGCAGGCUUAGGCCGUUGAAUACAUUAGCAUGGAAUAAUAAGAUAGGACCUUGGUCUAUUUUGUUGGUUUGCAUUCCAAGGUAAUGAUUAAUAGGGAUAGUUGGGGGUAUUCGUAUUCAAUUGUCAGAGGUGAAAUUCUUGGAUUUAUGGAAGACGAACUACUGCGAAAGCAUUUACCAAGGAUGUUUUCAUCG